Non-coding RNA from Paramuricea clavata, 705 nucleotides. Lineage: Eukaryota; Metazoa; Cnidaria; Anthozoa; Malacalcyonacea; Plexauridae. The record is from the annotation of a GenBank genome assembly.
GCGGCUCCCACGUAAAUAGGCUUAUUUAAAAAAAUCUUUAUCCUUGCCAUCCUAGACGCUACCAGAUCUUCCGAAAAUAUCGUUGCCUUUUCAAAAUUCCAUUUCCUUGCCAACUUAUUCCAUUCCUUUUCGUCGUUGACCAGUUUAAUAUCCGUGCGGUUUCUUACGUUCUCCAUCGUCUUUCCAAAAAUAGCGUUACACAUCAACUUGUAAAAAUCUUUCUUGAAAUCUGUCGUCGCUUUUUUACGAAGUUUGAUAUUCAUGUGAAUAUAUUCGGCUAACCAUGAUCGUUCUGAAAACAUAACACCAUUAUGAAUUUCCAACAAUUUCAAACCGUGCUCCAAAUAAAAUUUUAAAUUUUUCACAUGAAGAAUAUACCUUUUCUUAUCGUUUAGAUUCGGUGCAAGUUUCAUACCACCGCUUUCCGUUAGUAUCCUUUCCGGAGCAAGCGGAUAGUCGCUAUGAAGAUCGUGAAGUUCCUUCUGAUAUUCCAGGUCCACUUCUAAAAAACAUCCUUUUCCUUCCGGAAGACGAUCCCAUUUUUCCUUUUCUUCUUCCGACAUCCAUUCAAAGUCGGCGUAGGGUAACGGUUGUGUCAUGACGUGAGAAUACAAACCGUUUGCAUCCAAGUACGGAAUGAAUACGGAAUCAUCCUCCUUUCCAUGAUCGCUAAGACAUGUUACCCAUCGCGUCAGAUUCUUUUCG